RNAcentral lists this ribosomal RNA (323 nucleotides) under Tupua sp. CG299. RNAcentral describes it as "partial 12S ribosomal RNA". The record is from RNAcentral. Lineage: Eukaryota; Metazoa; Arthropoda; Arachnida; Araneae; Synotaxidae.
AGGUAGUAAAAAUUUUUAAUUAAAACCUAUAUAUUUUGGCGGCAUUUUAUCCCAUUAGAGGAGCCUGUUUAAUAAUCGACACUCCACGAUAAUUUUUUCUAUAAUUUAUAUCUUAUAUACCUCCGUUUAAGAUUUUAAAUAAAUUUUUUUUCUAAAUAUUAUAUAAAAUAAUAGGUAAAGGUGUAGAAAAUAUUAUAGAUAAAAUGUGCUACAUUAAAAAAUAUUUAAGGAAAAAAGAAAAAAUUUAAAAAUGAAAAAGAAUUUAUUAGUAUUAAAUAAUAUUAUAAAAUAAUAAUUAUCUAUGAAUAGGAUAAUAAAUGUGU